RNAcentral lists this ribosomal RNA (253 nucleotides) under uncultured bacterium. RNAcentral's name for it is "partial 16S ribosomal RNA". It matches the Rfam family "Bacterial small subunit ribosomal RNA", at positions 524 to 776 of the family's 1533-position model. The record is from RNAcentral.
CACGUAGGGUCCGAGCGUUGUCCGGAAUUACUGGGCGUAAAGCGUGCGCAGGCGGUUUUGUAAGUCAGAUGUGAAAUCCCCGGGCUUAACCUGGGAACUGCGUUUGAAACUACAAGGCUAGAGUGUGGCAGAGGGGGGUGGAAUUCCACGUGUAGCAGUGAAAUGCGUAGAGAUGUGGAGGAACACCGAUGGCGAAGGCAGCCCCCUGGGUUAACACUGACGCUCAGGCACGAAAGCGUGGGGAGCAAACAGG